UACAGAGGGGGCAAGCGUUGUUCGGAAUUACUGGGCGUAAAGGGCGCGUAGGCGGCCUGCUAAGUCGAACGUGAAAUCCCUGGGCUCAACCCAGGAACUGCGUCCGAUACUGGUUGGCUUGAAUCCGGGAGAGGGAUGUGGAAUUCCAGGUGUAGCGGUGAAAUGCGUAGAUAUUCGCAAGAACACCAGUGGCGAAGGCGGCUCACUGGCCCGGUACUGACGCUGAGGUGCGAAGGCGUGGGGAGCAAACAGG
Molecule: ribosomal RNA, 253 nt
Filed under: uncultured bacterium
Lineage: Bacteria
Description: partial 16S ribosomal RNA
Rfam family: Bacterial small subunit ribosomal RNA
Source: RNAcentral